UUUCUGUUCAUUUCUACAGGAGAGACCACUAGAAUUUGUGUCCUCUACAAUUUUUCCACAAAGUGAAAGAGGAUAGAAGGAAUUUUUUUAGGGAAAAAGAAAUGCAAAUGAAGACAACAGCUACCACAGACAGCAGCUCUGAUAGGCUCCUUCUGUUCUCAGUAGUUAUCCAGAUCUAUUUUCUUCAUACACAAAUCCCAGAAUUCCUGCUUUGGAGAAACAAAGAUGACUUCAGUGAAUGGAUGUCUCCAUGCCUUCCUACUUUUGUAAAUGAUCUGUUGUCAGAUGAUGAGCACCUGAUCAUCUCCAGUUGUGGGAUCUCAGAGAUGUAUGGCAAUGUGUCUGAAGUGCAGUGGAUUAGCUGCUUUUGAGGUACUGAUGAGCAAAAAUACCAGAGCAAUCUACCCCCAUAUCACCUCCAAAAGAGAGAAUUAAAACAAGAAAAGUUCCAAAUUUCAAAUUGUGUAUGUAACAGUUGUAUUGUAAUAUUGCUUAGAAAGCCUGCUUAGAUCUUGAGAACUGGCCAGUCGAGGGGAGCUUCCAGUCUGUGUGGAUCAGAUGAGACAAGACCCAGUUUCCAUCCUCAAGUUUAGUUCUUGGCUUGCUGCAGGUAUGAGUCUCACUAUCCUGGUGGGCUGCGCCCUGAGCUGUGCAUCAGUUUUCAGGGCAGUGAUCUACUGAAUGUAAAUACUGCAUCA
RNAcentral lists this long non-coding RNA (698 nucleotides) under Numida meleagris (helmeted guineafowl). RNAcentral describes it as "lncRNA (ENSNMEG00000000978.1)". Lineage: Eukaryota; Metazoa; Chordata; Aves; Galliformes; Numididae. The record is from RNAcentral.